RNAcentral lists this ribosomal RNA (200 nucleotides) under uncultured bacterium. RNAcentral describes it as "partial 16S ribosomal RNA". It matches the Rfam family "Bacterial small subunit ribosomal RNA", at positions 29 to 234 of the family's 1533-position model. The record is from RNAcentral.
AACGAACGCUGGCGGCAUGCCUAACACAUGCAAGUCGAACGCUUGGUUUGGGUUCGCCCGAGCCAAGAGUGGCGCACGGGUGAGUAGCGCGUGGGAACCUGUCCUGUUGUGGGGGAUAACCGCGGGAAACUGCGGCUAAUACCGCAUGAUCCCCGGGAGUGAUCUCGGGGCAAAGAUUUAUCGCGAUGGGAGGGGCCCGC